AUAAAAAGUAAAAGUAAAAAUUAUGAGAUAAAAAGUCAUGACAAAAAGUCAACACAAGAUUAGGUUUUUAUUUGUAUACAAUAUAUUUAUAUACAGUAAAAUAUGGAAGCCCGUUCUACUACAUAAGAAAAAAAAUCAUAAGACAAGUCAUAAUUAUGUCAUAAAAAUUCAAAAUGAGAUACUGUCAUAAUUAUGAGAUAAAAAGUUGAAAUUAUAUAAAAAGAAAAAUUAGUCAUUUGACAAAAGUCAUAGCUAUGAGAUAAAAACUCAAAAUUAACACAAUUAUGACGCCAAUUAUGAAAUAAAAACUCAAAAUGGACACACUAAGUCAUAGCUAUGAGAACUCGAAAUUAUGACAAAAUUUUAUGAGACAGUCAUGACAAGUCGAAAUUAUGAUGUUAAUUAUGAGAUAAAAAGUCAUAGCUAUGAGAUAAAAACUUGAAAAUUAUUACAUAAAAAGUAAAAAUGUUUAUAUCAUAAGUCAUAAUUAUGAAAAAAAGUCAACAUUAUAAGUCAAAAUUAUGGCAAAAUGUCAAAAUUAUUUAUUAUUUAAAAAUGACUGCUUUUUAUCUCAUGAUUUUGACUUUUUGUGUCAUAUGUCAAACUGUAUAUUAUUUUCUAAUGUGGCUGAAAUGGGCAUGCACAAGUAUACCUUAUCUGUGUGUAUACAGUAUAUAGAGUAGAUUAAAUUGCCGUUUCAAUGAGUGCCAAUGUAACUAAAUUAACAGCAGUCUGCUGUUACACUGACCAAUAUUUGUUGCUGAAGGGAUUCUGAAUUAAUUUUUUUUUUUUUUUUUUACUUUUUAAGGUUAAAUGGUAACGUACGACAAAAAACGUACCCACUACAAUGUUGAGAAAUAAUUUAUUGAAAAUGUUUGUUCUUAUUGCUGGAGCAUCAAGUAAAUGACACAGAGCCUAAACGACUGUCAUUAUUAAUAUUAUCACACCUCCAGUACACUCUCGCCCUUCUUUUAAGCAUGAAAACAUUUGAAAUGCAUUGUGAUUGUAAGAACUACAUCAGGCUGACCUUAAAAGAAAAUAGAGACAUAACAAUGUUAAAAUCACUUUUAGUGAAGUACAAUUACAUACGAGUGCUACAUAGUGUGUUACAGAGUGUUACACCAUCCAGCUGUGUUGGCAUUGUAAAAGUGCUAAAAUAUCACUCCGAUAUUUACAACAACCUGCAGCAAACAAGCUUCUGAUUAGUCCAUACAUUACAGAAAAAUACUGUCACGGUACGUUUUUCUCUUUAAUCAGAAAUUGUUUGUGAAAGAUAAACAUCUGAAUAAGAAAUGCUCUCUAAUUUGUUAGUGCAAGGACACCCAUUU
Molecule: long non-coding RNA, 1328 nt
Organism: Ctenopharyngodon idella (grass carp)
Lineage: Eukaryota; Metazoa; Chordata; Actinopteri; Cypriniformes; Xenocyprididae
Exons: 2
Source: RefSeq, a predicted model, not a curated record